Molecule: ribosomal RNA, 253 nt
Filed under: uncultured bacterium
Lineage: Bacteria
Description: partial 16S ribosomal RNA
Rfam family: Bacterial small subunit ribosomal RNA
Source: RNAcentral
UACAGAGACUGCGAGCGUUAUUCGGAUUCACUGGGCGUAAAGGGUGCGCAGGCGGCCGUGUGUGUUGGGCGUGAAAGCCCGGGGCUUAACCCCGGAAUUGCACCCAAAACUACAUGGCUAGAGCAUUGGAGAGGGUAGCAGAAUUCAUGGUGUAGCAGUGAAAUGCGUAGAUAUCCGGAGGAACACCGGUGGCGAAGGCGGCUUCCUGGACCGACACUGACGCUGAGGCGCGAAAGCUAGGGGAGCAAACGGG